AGAGUUUGAUCCUGGCUUAGGACGAACGCUGGCGGCGUGCUUAACACAUGCAAGUCGAGCGGAGAAUAUAGCAAUAUAUUCUUAGCGGCGGACGGGUGAGUAACGCGUGGGUAACCUGCCUUUUUACAGGGGGGAUAACACUGGGAAACUAGUGCUAAUACCGCAUAAAAUAGUGAAGUGGCAUCACUUUACUAUCAAAGGAGCAAUCCGGUAAAAGAUGGACCCGCGUCCGAUUAGCUAGUUGGAGGGUAACGGCCCACCAAGGCGACGAUCGGUAGCCGAACUGAGAGGUUGAUCGGCCACAUUGGGACUGAGACACGGCCCCAGACUCCUACGGGAGGCAGCAGGUGGGGAAUAUUGCGCAAAGUGGGGGAAACCCUGACGCAGCAACGCCGCGUGAAGGAUGUAAGGUUUUCGGAUUGUAAACUUCUUUGAGUUGGGGACGAUAAUGACGGUAACCCAAAAAACAAGCCACGGCUAACUACGUGCCAGCCGCAGC
This 499-nucleotide ribosomal RNA is filed under the name uncultured bacterium. RNAcentral describes it as "bacterial SSU rRNA". It matches the Rfam family "Bacterial small subunit ribosomal RNA", at positions 8 to 518 of the family's 1533-position model. The record is from RNAcentral.